UCACUCCGACGUUCGGAUAAACUUCUGUGAAACGGGCUACAUCUCUACUCACUUGCGACGACCGCCACUACCCGCCGCUGCUGCUGCAGCGUCGAGCGCCCACUAUCGUCACACAACCUGAGGCAAGAGAACGUGAAACCGGCUAGAAAGAAGAGUUUGUCCGGAAGUAGAGCGGAAGCCACGAUGGGAACCAUUAGCGACAAGGAUCGUCAGAAAACCGUGGACGGGACAUCAGCUGCAAACACCUUUUUGCUAGGUGCUGCCGGGAUUACUGCAAUAUUUGCGCCGCCGGUAGCAAUUGGAUUGCUGAUAGCCUCCGCUGGAACAACUGCCGCAACUAUUACUGCUGCGACUCUGCCAGGAGAUGACGAGACGUAGCAGGAACUCAUAAACCCGACUUCUGCGAUUGGCACUCCAAGCCCGCCUCGGCAAGAAGGAAUUAUGGGUUAUUUUUCUUAGCAGCAGCAAGUAGUGUACCGGGCCUAGUAGUGUUAGGUAACUGAGGUGGCGUUAAUGCUUAGACGUCAAUCGACAAGGAUUAGUUUCACGAAAUAAAACGUUUUUCAGUAAUG
Long non-coding RNA from Rhipicephalus sanguineus (brown dog tick), 572 nucleotides. RefSeq lists it as uncharacterized. The record is from RefSeq and is a predicted model, not a curated record. The transcript has 3 exons. Lineage: Eukaryota; Metazoa; Arthropoda; Arachnida; Ixodida; Ixodidae.